CUAACGGCUGAACCAGCAACUUGGAGGAAUGUAUAGCAAUAGCUGAUUGCACCAACAAAUACUUGAUGCAAUAUUGACUCUGUCAAAUAAAAUUCUAGGUAGAAUUAUGAUAAUGACAUUGUCUGCCUAUAUGUCUUGACCAAAUUACGUGCCAGCAGUCGCGGUAAUACGUAGAAGACUAGUGUUAUUCAUCUUUAAUAGGUUUAAAGGGUACCUAGACGGUAAAUCAAGCCUUCACAGGGACUAAUUUACUAGAGUUACUUACGAGGGGGUAUUAAAGUACUGCAGGUGUAGAGAUGAAAUUCUGUCAUACCUCUUUUCAAAAGAAAAAUUAUGGCACAGGUAUAGGUGAAAGCAUCCCCUUAUGUGAUAACUGACGUUGAAGGACGAAGGCUUUGUGUCGCGAACAGGAUUAGAUACCCCAGUAGUCAAAGCAGAAAAUGAUGAAUGUCAUAGAUUAGAUAAAUAGUUUAUUCUAUAAAUGAAAAUGUAAGCAUUCCACCUCAAGAGUAAUUUGGCAACAUUGGAACUGAAAUCAUUAGACCGUUUCUGAAACCAGUAGUGAAGUAUGUUGUUUAAUUUGAUGAUCCGCAAAAAACCUUACCACAAUUUGAAUAUUUAUAUCUAUCUUUUUUUUCGUAAAGAAAUAAAAAGGUAAUAUGUUUACAAGCGUUGCACGGCUGUCUUCAGUUAAUGUCGCGAGACUUUGGUUAGUUCCAUUAAAUUAACGUAAACCCUUACUUUAUUUUUAUAUGAAGUAGUUCCCCGCUAUAUUGGAUAUGAUAACAGGGACUAAGACAAGUCAUCAUGGCCUAAAUAUUGU
This 823-nucleotide ribosomal RNA is filed under the name Lepraria eburnea. Its description in RNAcentral is "SSU rRNA". It matches the Rfam family "Bacterial small subunit ribosomal RNA", at positions 376 to 1210 of the family's 1533-position model. The record is from RNAcentral. Lineage: Eukaryota; Fungi; Ascomycota; Lecanoromycetes; Lecanorales; Stereocaulaceae.